Hyla sarda is the source of this 298-nucleotide long non-coding RNA. RefSeq lists it as uncharacterized. The transcript has 3 exons. NCBI's taxonomy places the organism in Eukaryota, Metazoa, Chordata, Amphibia, Anura, Hylidae. The record is from RefSeq and is a predicted model, not a curated record.
CAGGAGAGAGGUUGGACCUGCACAUGGGACACUCGUCUGUGACGCUGUAGCAGUACCUGGCUGCCAUGAUGGAUGAGCAGCAGGCCCUGGACUCCAUCAUGCAGGAUCUGGUCGUCCUCCACAAGGCCAGCAGACCAUCGGGGCAUGAAUCUAGUGGGACCAAGACCACCUCUCCUAAGAAGCAGAAUGAUGUCCGUGUGAAGUUUGAACAUCGUGGAGAGAAGAGGUGAGAGAACAAUGUUGUUUAUAGUUAUUGUCUUUAGGAAGUUAAUUUUGAGGGCAUUUAUUUUUGCUUGCG